GUUUUCAGAUGUACACUAAAUUUACUUUUGUACUACUGCACUUUAUCUACUUUGGAAACAUUCUGAAGUACAUGGUGGAUUUAAUUCCAUUAAUCUUUGGAAAUAUGAUGAGUGGUUCAGUUUCUGAUUUUCAUGAUCAUCUGUUAGCUGUAAGAUAUUAUUGCCUUAUAGGGACAUCUGCUGGUAGAUAAAUAAAGGUCUAGAACAAUAAAAUACUGUCUUCUCCUCAGUGUUUGCCAGGGCACCACUCUGAGCCUGAAGCCUUCCUCAUAUGCAUCUGCUUCAGAUAGUACCUGGCUGCGAAAAUUCUAAAUAUUCUAUCAUUUCACGGUCCAAUUCUUCUCAAGUCACAUAAAACUUGCCUUUACCACACAUUUGUCUUUUUCCCACAAUAGAUUCACACAUGUAUUUAGUUUUUUUUUUUUUUUCCCAGACUGACUGUAUAUUAUCCUGAAAACCUCAGGCUUUCUGGAAGUUUAUGCCCUUUGGGGCAGGUGGCAUGAGAAUCGUGAUAUUUAGUGAACCCACUCUCCACCAUAAGCCAUCACUUGUUUUGUUACCUGUCUUGAAUUUCCAGAUCUGCGUGAAACAUGCAAGAAAAAAGAAAAGCCACUCUCUUUUCGUUCCUAAGUUGCCGAAACAAAAGUAAAAUAAAUCCAGUAAUGUUAUCAAUGUCUUAAACUUCCGGCCUUUAAUGUUUCACAAGAGGGGGAAAAGUAUGUUAAUAAUUUUAUCAGUAAGUUGAAAUGCUCCUCUUCCCACUCAGCUAUGUCAGGUUUCCUACCAAUAAUUAGCUGCAGCUAAUUAAUUACCACCUUUCACUGGAAAAAGGAUUACCUGGUGAAAGCAAAGCAACCAGUAGUAUUAUUUCUACUGAACUUAACCAUCACCAGAAGGAUGAAAUAAUUUUUCUUGUGGUGUUUUACUGAACAAGGAUCACCUUUAUAUGCCUUCUUUGGAAAAGCAGAACUGUGUUAAAUCAUACAUUGUAGACUUAAAAUUAAAUUGCCCAUAAAAGUCAAUAUUACCAAGAGCACAGUGUAGCAGCUUAUUCAUGCCACUUCUUUAAACUCAUUGCACAUUAAUGUGCUAAUGUGAUGGAAAAUAAAGAAUCGUCACGUGCCUUCCCAGUCGUUUUUUCUCUUUUGUUUAUAUAUGUAUAUUUUUAAAGCAAGUAGAAGAUUGUUUCAUCAGUUAAGGCAUUCCCUGCCAAAAGAAACGACAUAAUCAUUAACUAAUUACAACUAAAUAAUAGCAUUGCACAUUUUGACAGGUUAACGCACAUUCUGUUAAGAGUUGAAAGCUCAAGAAAGAGAAUAAUAAAGCUACUACUUUCACAAAAUCCUCAAAUGCCAAUAUGGGAAAUAAACUCUGAGGGCUUUCACCAACCAUGUGUCUUUCUUUUUAUCUCUUGCUCUUUGUGUGUGAGAAACAUUUGAAUUUAUAUUAACAUUUUAAAAUAAUUCGCUAAGUGAUCAACUCAUUUUUACUGGUUUUAACCAAUCAUAAAUCACAGAACCUACUGACAUCCACAGUUUUAACACACUGAAAUCAUCAUUUUGGCUGUUUCCGCCAUUUCCAAUGAAGCAAUAAAAUACACACGGUGACUCUCAGAUGUGAAAAGAAUGAAGAAAACCAAGUCAAGAGAGAAAAAACAGUGUUUUCAAAUGUAAUCUAGUUCAUUCAAAAAGCCAAAAACAAAACACAAAGACAUGCCUGAAAUGGCACAUUACCGAUAUUGUGUCUGAAGAGCUUAAUACCUUAACUGAAAAAAACAUUGGGAAAAAUUAAUGCAAAAUUGAAUUGUCUACUUUAUGAUUUCUUACACAAUGACUCAAAUAUUUUUGAGUAUAUCAGAUCUGGUUGUUUGCAAUCUUCUCAUACAGAGUCUAUCAAAAUUCUUCUGAAAAGAAAAGAAAAAGAGAAAAUAGAAAAUCUCUUUCUAAACCCUGUCCUUUAGCAAGCUCAUAAAAGGAAAUUAAGGAAUAUGUUCUCCAGUGCUAUAGGUGAUACAGUCUGUUAAAGCCCACAUGAUGUGACUACAGAAGGAAUCAGUACAUGUUAAACAGCAUGAAUAUAGGUAGAGAAGAUCAAGUUGUUGUUUUUAAUUUACUUAUUGUUGCUUGGGAACACUACUUACACUACUCCACUAUCAUGGAACUUCAUAUUAGACUUACGAAAUUGACCUGUUUGCUAUGAAAUGAGAAAAGAGAGAGUAUACAGCAAAGAUUAAGAGGUUUAGCACUACACAUUGGAAACCAAUCACAAUAUAAUAAAAGUAGUAAGUCAUUUAAUAGAUUGCUUUUUGCAACUUGGGUAUGGAGCAAUAAAAUUUGUUCAAUAAAUGAGUAUACACUUUUCUUGUGAGAGACAAAUGGAUCAUCAUUUAGCAUACACCAAGAGGGAAUUCAAAAGGAAAAAAAUGCUAACAUCAGAAGGGGGAAUGAGAUCCACACAUUAAAGGAUGGUAUUAGUAUUGCAAACUACAAAAAAAGUAGAGAGAAUUUAAAUUAUUUACCUUUCUAGUUCGGCACAAAUGUCCUACAGCUAAUUAUCAUGAGAUAUUGCCUGGAAAUUAACCAGUCAUGUUGUGUUUCUAUCUCCAGAUUUACAAUUAGUAAUGCUAUUAAUGUGGUUCCUGUACUUAGCGUUACUAAUUAUAUUGCUAUGAACUAAUGGUGUUAAAAAUAGCAAUAGCCAUCAACUACCAAUUAAUGCUUAAUGAGAGCAUAUAAACCCUGGCAUUGUAAUGAAUUUCAAAAUUAUUGUUGCUUGUGUUCCUCUUGUAAUCGUGCAAAAAUGGGUGUAACCAGUAACCACUGAAGUAGGGCAUUGAUUGAAAGCAUAGUUACAUCAUUGCAGGAAAAUCAAGAUAUAAAUGGCUCCUUGAAAGAAUAUAUAUUCCAUUUUACCCUUAGUAUUCAACCCGCAGGUUUUAGGGAAAAAAUUAUAAAAAAACAAUUGAAAUACAACUUGCAAAGAUGUUGUUUGAAACCCAUGAAUAAUAUAGGAAAUAUUUUUUAAAAUUUUUGGAGAGGAGUUUUUAUGGAAGAAUCAUUCAACAAAUCCUCUCCUAGAAUUUAUAUAAGGCAGAAUAACUAGAAUUUCAGUAUGCACCAGAAGACAGAUUUAAGAGAGGGAUACCCUAUAUUAGCUAGGAUAGGCUAGGUUAUGCUGCAGUAACAACCCCUGUCAGUGGCUUAGCAUACAAAAGUUUAUUUCUUGCUCACAUUUUCUAUGUCCAGCACAGUCACUUAGGGAGUACCACCCACUACAGUUACUCAGGAACUCAGGCCCAAAGAGAUCCCACCCUGUUGUGUACUCCUAUUAUUUUCAGAGGGAACUUGGACAACUGUGCUUCUCUAUUACUUCUAGGCAGAAGUGACUUUUACCACUUAUGAUGCUAUUUCAUUGGAGAAAAACCACAUGACUAACCUAAGAUCAAAGUGAUGAAGAAUAGUACCCAGGAAAAGAAUAACUGAAAUAUUAUAUAACUUCAUGUGUUUUAGUUCUUUGGCACUGUUUUAUUUUAUUUUUUAUUUUUUUAAUAAUGAUUUUUAUUUUUCCAUUAUAGCUGGUUUACAGUGUUCUGUCAAUUUUCUACUGUACAGCAAGGUGACCCAGUUACAUAUACAUGUAUACCUUCUUUUUUCUCACAUUAUCAUGCUUGAUCAUAAGUAACUAGAUAUAGUUUCCAGUGCGAUACAGCCAGAUUUCAUUGCUUAUCCAUUACAAAGGCAAUAGUUUGCAUCUAUUAACCCCAAAUUCCCAGUCCAUUCCACUCCCUUCCCCUUCCCUUUGACAACCACAAGUCUGUUUUCCAUGUCCAUGAUUUUCUUUUCCAUGGAAAAUCUUUGAUCUUGUCAUUAAAAAGUCAUUUCCAACAAUCAGUUAGUGAGAGUACUUCAUUAGUAUACAGUGUUGCAGUAUAUUAAAUGCAAAUGCACCUUUUCAAUUUCAGAAAUGUAAUUUAAUAUUUUAUCUUGGCAUCAGCCUUUUCAACCCUUGGUUCUAAUAAAAACCAUAGAGUAUUUCAAGAAUAUGAAAGAGCAGAAAUUACCAUAAAAUGGAGUAAGAAAGAGUAAUUUAGCCAGUAAAGAGGCUAAUGAUGUGUGUGUGUGUGUGUUCUCAAAUUAGCACAAAAGUGUGCUUAUGGUAUCCACACUAACAGUGGCAAUGACACACUAAAGAAAACUAAAGAUACUAAGAAGACUACAGAACUCAACUACAGUGUUUACAAAUCUACACUUUAUCACAGGAAAAGAAUAAAAAUAUAGCAUUGCUUUUAAAGUAAGGAUAUGCAUCAGAGCCCAAGGUUGCAUCACACCAAGGGGUCCUAAGAGACUCAUUGUGGACUCCAAUUGCCCUCAUUCUGUGGAGCCAUCCUGGAUGCACUUUCUCUUAAAUCAUAAAUCUUCAACACUGGUAUAGAAUGCUCUAGAAACAGGAUCCCAAAAUGGAUUCUCAGUUGGUUCUUCUAUAUUCUACUGGUCAGGAAGGCACAUCAUUGCUAUGUGACCAGCCAAAGAGCAGAACCCACAGGCACCAAAACCAGGUGCAAACCAACUAUAGGUACGGGCAAGCUGGUAGAAAUUACCCCCAAACUAGUCUCAGAACCAUGGUUAUAAACCAAUACUAUCAAUCAGGCCUGUUUCAUGCACUGGCUAAGGAUUAGUGUCAUGAAGGGAUAUUUCCUAUAAUAUCACCUAUAAAGCAGCUCAGCCAAUAUACCUGACAGAAGUAUCCCUCACAGCACAACAUUCAAAUAGAUGUUACAAAAAGCUAAACCUAUGAACUUAGAAGGAGAACUGUACUAUUAAUACAUUAAUUGGCAAUACUGGGGCUUAGAGGUAAGUACACUUCUGGGCCAGGGGCGUAUCUGAAUUCCCUAAGCUUAUUUUCAAACUGCAUCCCACCCUAGCUUAGACCCCUCUGAAACUUAACCACUAUCAUUGCUAUGCUGUGACUUAGAUAUCAAGGAAGAUAUAUUUUAGGCACAUUUACUAUCCCCUUGUAUAACAUUAUUGUCCCACAAUUUAGAAGCUUAAAACAACCAAUUAUUUGUUAGACUUGCUAAAUUUUUGCUUUAGGAAU
This 5094-nucleotide long non-coding RNA is filed under the name Sus scrofa (pig). RNAcentral's name for it is "lncRNA (ENSSSCG00030044240.1)". The record is from RNAcentral. Lineage: Eukaryota; Metazoa; Chordata; Mammalia; Artiodactyla; Suidae.